RNAcentral lists this transfer RNA (63 nucleotides) under Dipodomys ordii (Ord's kangaroo rat). It matches the Rfam family "tRNA". From Rfam's summary of the family: Transfer RNA (tRNA) molecules are approximately 80 nucleotides in length. Their secondary structure includes four short double-helical elements and three loops (D, anti-codon, and T loops). The record is from Rfam by way of RNAcentral. Lineage: Eukaryota; Metazoa; Chordata; Mammalia; Rodentia; Heteromyidae.
AGGAAUGUAGCUUAGUGGUAGAGUGCUUGCCUAGUAUGCAUGAAGCCCUGGGUUCCAUUCCUC